This 370-nucleotide long non-coding RNA is filed under the name Homo sapiens (human). RNAcentral's name for it is "HSALNT0393461". Lineage: Eukaryota; Metazoa; Chordata; Mammalia; Primates; Hominidae. The record is from RNAcentral.
GAAAUUUGCAGCCUGAUAUUUGCAGGCCCAGGAGGUUCAGGCAGUUUGGUAAAGGGUUACCAGGAAACCAAAGAGAAUGGCACAACCUGUUUGCUGAUUAAGGAGGCAAGUUCAGAGUGUCAUGUGAAGCGGACUACAGCCCAAGUUGGGUGUGCCAACCAUUUAUUCCUGGGAUGUAACUGGCAGCUGAGGAAGAUCACUUUGGCAAGCCUGUGCCAAGGGGUCAUAUAAUUACACAAGGAGAAACCUUACUCCAAGACAAAGUUCAGGAAGAGUUAAAAGGAAUACCUCAAUCAAGCAGAGGUCAGCAAAUGUUUUCUGUAAAGGACGAAAUAAAUACUUUAGGGUUUGUAGCCACAUAAGGUCUGUC